GAUGAACGCUGGCGGCGUGCCUAAUACAUGCAAGUCGAGCGAACGGACGAGAAGCUUGCUUCUCUGAUGUUAGCGGCGGACGGGUGAGUAACACGUGGAUAACCUACCUAUAAGACUGGGAUAACUUCGGGAAACCGGAGCUAAUACCGGAUAAUAUUUUGAACCGCAUGGUUCAAAAGUGAAAGACGGUCUUGCUGUCACUUAUAGAUGGAUCCGCGCUGCAUUAGCUAGUUGGUAAGGUAACGGCUUACCAAGGCAACGAUGCAUAGCCGACCUGAGAGGGUGAUCGGCCACACGGGAACUGAGACACGGUCCAGACUCCUACGGGAGGCAGCAGUAGGGAAUCUUCCGCAAUGGGCGAAAGCCUGACGGAGCAACGCCGCGUGAGUGAUGAAGGUCUGCGGAUCGUAAAACUCUGUUAUUAGGGAAGAACAUAUGUGUAAGUAACUGUGCACAUCUUGACGGUACCUAAUCAGAAAGCCACGGCUAACUACGUG
Molecule: ribosomal RNA, 497 nt
Filed under: uncultured bacterium
Lineage: Bacteria
Description: partial 16S ribosomal RNA
Rfam family: Bacterial small subunit ribosomal RNA
Source: RNAcentral